GAGACUCUGUGCGCGUGCAUAUCAAUAAGCGGAGGAAAAGAAACUAACAAGGAUUCCCUUAGUAACGGCGAGUGAAGCGGGAAGAGCUCAAAUUUGAAAUCUUCAAGGUUUUACCUUGACGAAUUGUAGUUUAUAGAAGUGUUUUCUGUUAGUAGAGUUUGGUAAAAGUUCUUUGGAAUAGGACAUCAUAGAGGGUGAGAAUCCCGUAUUUGACCGUUACUUUCCAGCUGUGUGAUACACUUUCAAAGAGUCGGAUUGUUUGGGAAUGCAGUCCAAAAUGGGUGGUAAAUUUCAUCUAAAGCUAAAUAUUGGCGAGAGACCGAUAGCGAACAAGUACCGUGAGGGAAAGAUGAAAAGAACUUUGAAAAGAGAGUUAAACAGUACGUGAAAUUGUCAAAAGGGAAGCGUUUGACACCAGUGUUGUUUAGUUGAAAAUCAAUUCAAUAGUCUUUGAUUCUAAGUAGUAUUGACUUCAUCAGCUUGCUGCUUUCUUCUCAGAAAUUAUUGAAUGCACUUUUCAGUUAACAAGUCAACAUCAAUUUCUUUUGUUGUAAAAGGGUAAGAGGAAGGUGGCUUGCGCUUCGGCUCAAGUGUUUAUAGCCUUUUAUCUCUGCAAUCGGAGAGAUUGAGGUCUGCAGCGUAGAUCCUUCGGGGUUAGAUACAUUGGUGCUAAGCUAUAGCCUUGUAUAGACAACUUGUUGACUAUGCUCAGUCAUGUAGCUUACUCGCUUAUGCUAUUUUACCUACGCUUAUGAUGUUGACAGCAGUAUAGACUGU
Molecule: ribosomal RNA, 777 nt
Filed under: uncultured Neocallimastigales
Lineage: Eukaryota; Fungi; Neocallimastigomycota; Neocallimastigomycetes; Neocallimastigales
Description: partial large subunit ribosomal RNA
Rfam family: Eukaryotic large subunit ribosomal RNA
Source: RNAcentral